GGGGGGAGGGGAAAGGUGGUCUACUCCCUACGGGUUGGUGGCCUGCGGUGGCCGCAGAAGAUCCGACCGAGGGAGUUGAGGCGGCCCUUCCUUCUGGUGAAUGGCAUUGACAGAGAAAGGGGCUCUGUUCUUAUCGUUGGUGGGAACCAAUGAAGAGAAAAGAGAAUCUGGUGAAACUGAGAGAGAGGAGAGACAAGAAACUGGACCGUGGCUUUGGCGGCAGGGGUAAAGCCGAGGCUCUGAUACCAAGCUGAUGUAGCACAACUACAAGGAAAGAGGAGAAGGAGGAAGAACAAGGGAGGGAGAAGGAAGAAGAGGUUAUAGAGACACAGGAAAAAGAAAAGAGGAGGAAGAAGAAGAAGAAUAAGCAGGCUAGGGUUUUUUUUUCAUUCAAUCAUCAAUUGCCUCGUACAUGAAAGGGGUGGUCUUUAUAUAAACCUUAC
This 443-nucleotide long non-coding RNA is filed under the name Phoenix dactylifera (date palm). RNAcentral's name for it is "long non-coding RNA (PDAC_LNC017499)". Lineage: Eukaryota; Viridiplantae; Streptophyta; Magnoliopsida; Arecales; Arecaceae. The record is from RNAcentral.